Molecule: long non-coding RNA, 315 nt
Filed under: Setaria viridis
Lineage: Eukaryota; Viridiplantae; Streptophyta; Magnoliopsida; Poales; Poaceae
Description: long non-coding RNA (SVIR_LNC000297)
Source: RNAcentral
UCUUUCUGGAUGAGUAAUCCUUCUCAUUUUUGUAAUUUUCUGCAUGGACAACAAAUGAAACUGGACGACGAUUUGUUGGAUUCUGCCUGAUCAAGAAAACUAUGCAAGCCAUUAAUGUAUUCCAUGGAACGUUUGUUUGCGUUGUACAUCCAUUGCCGAUCCAUCUACAAAAUAUUACCGAACCAAAGAUAUUAUGAUCAUCCAUACAAUUAUAAAUGAAACAUAACAAACAUGAAACAAAUACCAUUAAACUGAAAUGUUGCUGAAAGUUUAGAUAGAAAUACAAAAAUUUAAAAUUCAAACCCAAACAAUAUG